This 253-nucleotide ribosomal RNA is filed under the name uncultured bacterium. Its description in RNAcentral is "partial 16S ribosomal RNA". It matches the Rfam family "Bacterial small subunit ribosomal RNA", at positions 524 to 776 of the family's 1533-position model. The record is from RNAcentral.
UACGUAGAUGGCAAGCGUUGUCCGGAUUUAUUGGGUUUAAAGGGUGCGUAGGCGGCUUAUUAAGUCAGUGGUGAAAUACUCUAGCUCAACUAGAGGGGUGCCAUUGAUACUGAUGAGCUUGAGUACAGAUGAGGUAGGCGGAAUUGACGGUGUAGCGGUGAAAUGCUUAGAUAUCGUCAAGAACACCUAUAGCGAAGGCAGCUUACUAGGCUGUAACUGACGCUGAGGCACGAAAGUGUGGGGAUCAAACAGG